This is a long non-coding RNA of Hemicordylus capensis (graceful crag lizard), 879 nucleotides long. RefSeq lists it as uncharacterized. The record is from RefSeq and is a predicted model, not a curated record. NCBI's taxonomy places the organism in Eukaryota, Metazoa, Chordata, Lepidosauria, Squamata, Cordylidae. The transcript is spliced from 4 exons.
GGGAAUUAAACAGAAAAAAACACCUGAGGCCACAGCAAAGGGAAAAGUAGCUGUGAACAGUAUCAAACAACCACAAAAAACUAGUGAGAGAAUGAGAGGCUCUUCACAACAAGAGUCUGGAGAAUGCAUUGUGCAAGUACUUGUCAAGAGAGACAAAAAGCCGGAUCUUUAUUGACACAGCAGCUGCUACGAAAUGGAGAGCAGAUGAACUCCCAGGGAAACCAGGUGAGACAGAAAGGGAAUCAAGAUCUCCAUUCACAGCAGCAGAGCUAAGGAUGAACAAGGCUGGACUUAUGAGAAUGGAUGUCCAGGGAGAUUUGAGAGGAUUACUCGGUUCAAUUAAGGGACUCCUUGACAUGGACUCUGAGGCAAAGGCAUGUUCUACAGACAUCGGUCAGCCCAGACCCCAAACUGGCCUGAGGUCCAGUAUGAGAAAAAACACUCUUCAGAAAGAAAGGAUUUAAUGGUCAUCUCUGCCCCAAGAUUCAGAAGCUAGACCCAGAAUUCACAGCGUCACCACCUCAUCAGCCACCUAAGAUUUACCACUCCCCUGAAAGCUCCCAGCAGCAAGCUGCACUGAUAAAGAGAGAACACAGAAUUGGGCAAAUAUGGAAGCAAAGGAUCUCAGCAAGAGAAGAGAUUCAACACAAGCAAGGCAAAUGCAGACAAUGCCCCGAGACAGAAGUACCCUCAUUGUAUUAGAUGACUAAUGGAAAAUAUGAAUGAUAAGAAAUUGCUUCUUUGCAUUUGUAGAUGUAUCUGGGAAGAAGGAAACAUGAUCUGAGUUUCUGAGGCAUGGGCUAAUGCUUGCAUCAUUGUCUCCAGUUGUUGGCAAGGGUUGUGUUAGUGAUUUAGAGCUACUGUAUUUCAUUUCAUCGG